AGGAGCUGAGAUCUAAGAAGGCUAGGUUAGAGGGGAUCACAUUCUUGAAGUGUUUUGAAGAAGGAUUGCCGUCCAUGACCCUUGAGAGCGGUAGAAGCUAGAUCUUUUUUCUUAUUAUCUUUUGUAGGCUCUUGGACUUCUUUAUGUUUUGGAUCAUUAUGGUUGUAGCAUUAACCACUUCUCUCUAACUUUUGGAUGUAUGUUUAGCA
Ipomoea triloba (trilobed morning glory) is the source of this 209-nucleotide long non-coding RNA. RefSeq lists it as uncharacterized. The transcript has 2 exons. Lineage: Eukaryota; Viridiplantae; Streptophyta; Magnoliopsida; Solanales; Convolvulaceae. The record is from RefSeq and is a predicted model, not a curated record.